This 474-nucleotide ribosomal RNA is filed under the name uncultured bacterium. RNAcentral's name for it is "SSU rRNA". It matches the Rfam family "Bacterial small subunit ribosomal RNA", at positions 26 to 518 of the family's 1533-position model. The record is from RNAcentral.
AGGACGAACGCUGGCGGCGUGCUUAACACAUGCAAGUCGAGCGGAAAGGCCCUUCGGGGUACUCGAGCGGCGAACGGGUGAGUAACACGUGAGUAAUCUGCCCCUAGCUCUGGGAUAGCUCCGGGAAAACCGGGAUUAAUACCGGAUACGACCACCUUAGACAUCUUUUGUGGUGGAAAGAAUUUCGGCUAGGGAUGAGCUCGCGGCCUAUCAGCUUGUUGGUGGGGUAACGCCUACCAAGGCGACGACGGGUAGCCGGCCUGAGGGGGCGACCGGCCACACUGGGACUGAGACACGGCCCAGACUCCUACGGGAGGCAGCAGUGGGGAAUAUUGCGCAAUGGGCGAAAGCCUGACGCAGCGACGCCGCGUGGGGGAUGAAGGCCUUCGGGUUGUAAACCCCUUUCAGCAGGGACGAAGCGAAAGUGACGGUACCUGCAGAAGAAGCGCCGGCUAACUACGUGCCAGCAGCCGC